Molecule: ribosomal RNA, 369 nt
Filed under: uncultured bacterium
Lineage: Bacteria
Description: bacterial SSU rRNA
Rfam family: Bacterial small subunit ribosomal RNA
Source: RNAcentral
GAUGAACGCUGGCGGCGUGCCUAAUACAUGCAAGUCGAACGCACAGCGAAAGGUGCUUGCACCUUUCAAGUGAGUGGCGAACGGGUGAGUAACACGUGGAUAACCUACCUCAAGGUUGGGGAUAACAUUUGGAAACAGAUGCUAAUACCGAAUAAAACUUCGUAUCGCAUGAUACAAGGUUAAAAAGGCGCUACGGCGUCACCUAGAGAUGGAUCCGCGGUGCAUUAGUUAGUUGGUGGGUAAAGGCCUACCAAGACAAUGAUGCAUAGCCGAGUUGAGAGACUGAUCGGCCACAUUGGGACUGAGACACGGCCCAAACUCCUAACGGGAGGCUGCAGUAGGAAUCUUCCACAAUGGGCGAAAGCCUGA